This 493-nucleotide ribosomal RNA is filed under the name uncultured soil bacterium. Its description in RNAcentral is "bacterial SSU rRNA". It matches the Rfam family "Bacterial small subunit ribosomal RNA", at positions 26 to 522 of the family's 1533-position model. The record is from RNAcentral.
AGAAUCAACGCUGGCGGCGUGCCUCAGACAUGCAAGUCGAACGAUUAAAGCUCUCUUCGGAGAGUGUAUAGAGUGGCGCACGGGUGAGUAACACGUAAGUAAUCUACCUUCGAGUGGGGAAUAACCCGGGGAAACCCGAGCUAAUACCGCAUAAUGCAGCGGCACCUAAUGGUGACAGUUGUUAAAGAUUUAUCGCUUGAAGAGGAGCUUGCGGCAGAUUAGCUAGUUGGUAAGGUAAUGGCUUACCAAGGCUACGAUCUGUAACCGGCCUGAGAGGGCGGUCGGUCACACUGACACUGACAUACGGGUCAGACUCCUACGGGAGGCAGCAGUCGGGAAUUUUGGGCAAUGGGCGAAAGCCUGACCAGCAACGCCGCGUGAAGGAUGAAAUCCUCGGAUGUAAACUUCGCAAGAACGGAAGAAUAAGUAGGGACAAUACCCCAUGAUGACGUACCGUUGUAAGCUCCGCUAACUCGUGCCAGCAGUCGCGGUA